RNAcentral lists this unclassified non-coding RNA (181 nucleotides) under soil metagenome. Its description in RNAcentral is "partial internal transcribed spacer 1". The record is from RNAcentral.
CAGAGUUGUAAAAACUCCCUAAACCCUUUGUUGAAUCAUACCUAUUCUUGUUCCUUCGGUCAGGCGGUCCCCUAGGGCGGGGCCCUCUAGCCCUUGCUCCGCAGGUGCCUGCCGCUAGAACGCCCAAAAAACUCUGUUACUGUAGGUAUUACCUUCUGAGUCUAAAUACAAAAUAAGAUAA